GGGCUCCAUUUCUAUUUAAAUCCACUGAAGCUAACUCAUCUUGUUAUUUCUCAUUUCCACCACUGCCAGCUGGUUUAAAGGCAGUGAUGAAGUAAGUUCAGGCCAAGCAGUCCCCAUUCUAGAGAUUCCCUCCUGCUGUCUCCACUGUCUCUUUCCCUUUCAUGUUGUCAUGCAUGGAGAGAGAAGACAUAAUGUCAGCCACGGGCAUGGUCCCUUGAAUCGCUGGGAAGUCAGAUUGGCUCCCUAAGAUUGCAGGGGUAUUCUUUAUCAUCUCCUUCACCCCAGUUCCCUUUUCUUCAUCUGACUCACCUCACCUUACAACUCCCCCACUCGCUUCUACCUGAGGCACAUGUAUAAACACACACACAUACACCCUGUACUACCACCUCAUACAAAUCUGUUCAUCAGAGAAUCUCUUACCAACUUUCCGUAGAGUCUCUGUUGUGCUUUGGUACAAUGUGGUUGUCCCCUAUUCAAAACUAAACCUGUUUCCUUUAUCCUCAACAUCCACCUUCUAGCUAUGUUUCA
Molecule: long non-coding RNA, 528 nt
Filed under: Bos taurus (domestic cattle)
Lineage: Eukaryota; Metazoa; Chordata; Mammalia; Artiodactyla; Bovidae
Description: long non-coding RNA NONBTAT019797
Source: RNAcentral